AAAAAGGGCAGGCCUUUUUUAAGGCACAAAGAUGCUUUCGCGUCUAGUGAUGAAUCGCGAUCACGAGAUUUAUCCUGCAUAAUUUCUGACAUGCCGCGUCGGAAUGGGCCGAGAAGGCUAAUUCCGCCG
This 129-nucleotide small nuclear RNA is filed under the name Plasmopara halstedii. Its description in RNAcentral is "U11 spliceosomal RNA". It matches the Rfam family "U11 spliceosomal RNA". Lineage: Eukaryota; Oomycota; Peronosporomycetes; Peronosporales; Peronosporaceae. The record is from Rfam by way of RNAcentral.